This 239-nucleotide unclassified non-coding RNA is filed under the name Hevea brasiliensis (rubber tree). The record is from RNAcentral. Lineage: Eukaryota; Viridiplantae; Streptophyta; Magnoliopsida; Malpighiales; Euphorbiaceae.
GAAGAAGCAAUAAACAUACAGGAUGAUUCCCCAUGGAGAAAUCUACAGUUGAUAUUGUCCCUUCAGAACAACUCUAUUCCUCUCCAAGAAAAAUUGGAGCUGGCAUAUAAUUAUGUGAAAUCAAGAACAGAAGGGGCUGGUGAAUGCAGGGAGGACAUUCAGACAGUAAACUUUUCAAGAGUGGUAGUUUUCUUGAAUAAUUGGGUCCAGAGGAUACUAGUUUCUUCUGAAAAGAAAAU